AGAGUUUGAUCCUGGCUCAGAUUGAACGCUGGCGGCAGGCUUAACACAUGCAAGUCGAGCGGAGAUGAGGUGCUUGCACCUUAUCUUAGCGGCGGACGGGUGAGUAAUGCUUAGGAAUCUGCCUAUUAGUGGGGGACAACAUUCCGAAAGGAAUGCUAAUACCGCAUACGUCCUACGGGAGAAAGCAGGGGAUCUUCGGACCUUGCGCUAAUAGAUGAGCCUAAGUCGGAUUAGCUAGUUGGUGGGGUAAAGGCCUACCAAGGCGACGAUCUGUAGCGGGUCUGAGAGGAUGAUCCGCCACACUGGGACUGAGACACGGCCCAGACUCCUACGGGAGGCAGCAGUGGGGAAUAUUGGACAAUGGGGGGAACCCUGAUCCAGCCAUGCCGCGUGUGUGAAGAAGGCCUUAUGGUUGUAAAGCACUUUAAGCGAGGAGGAGGCUACUGAGACUAAUACUCUUGGAUAGUGGACGUUACUCGCAGAAUAAGCACCGGCUAACUCUGUGCCAGCAGCCGCGGUAAUACAGAGGGUGCGAGCGUUAAUCGGAUUUACUGGGCGUAAAGCGUGCGUAGGCGGCUUUUUAAGUCGGAUGUGAAAUCCCCGAGCUUAACUUGGGAAUUGCAUUCGAUACUGGGAAGCUAGAGUAUGGGAGAGGAUGGUAGAAUUCCAGGUGUAGCGGUGAAAUGCGUAGAGAUCUGGAGGAAUACCGAUGGCGAAGGCAGCCAUCUGGCCUAAUACUGACGCUGAGGUACGAAAGCAUGGGGAGCAAACAGGACUAGAUACCCUGUUAGUCCAUGCCGUAAACGAUGUCUACUAGCCGUUGGGGCCUUUGAGGCUUUAGUGGCGCAGCUAACGCGAUAAGUAGACCGCCUGGGGAGUACGGUCGCAAGACUAAAACUCAAAUGAAUUGACGG
This 914-nucleotide ribosomal RNA is filed under the name uncultured bacterium. RNAcentral describes it as "bacterial SSU rRNA". It matches the Rfam family "Bacterial small subunit ribosomal RNA", at positions 8 to 916 of the family's 1533-position model. The record is from RNAcentral.